AGCUUCAGUAGCGUAUAUUAAAGUUGUUGCAGUUAAAAAGCUCGUAGUCGCAUUUCUGGCGAGAGGAUCCGGUCCGACCUUUUGGUGGGUUCUUGGGUCUCUUUCGCCAUCCUUGAGUGGUCCGUUCUGGCAUUAGGUUGUCGGAGCGUCAGCCGCUCAUCGUUUACUGUGAGAAAAUUAGAGUGUUCAAAGCAGGCUUAUGCCGUUGAAUAUAUUAGCAUGGAAUAAUAAGAUAGGACCUCGGUACUAUUUUGUUUGUUUGCGCACCAAGGUAAUGAUGAACAGGGACAGUUGGGGGUAUUUGUAUUUCGUUGUCAGAGGUGAAAUUCUUAGAUUUACGAAAGACAAACUACUGCGAAAGCAUUUACCAAGGAUGUUUGCA
This 382-nucleotide ribosomal RNA is filed under the name uncultured marine Chaetocerotaceae. Its description in RNAcentral is "SSU rRNA". It matches the Rfam family "Eukaryotic small subunit ribosomal RNA", at positions 587 to 972 of the family's 1831-position model. Lineage: Eukaryota; Bacillariophyta; Thalassiosirophyceae; Chaetocerotales; Chaetocerotaceae. The record is from RNAcentral.